RNAcentral lists this ribosomal RNA (742 nucleotides) under Lactobacillus gasseri. Its description in RNAcentral is "bacterial SSU rRNA". It matches the Rfam family "Bacterial small subunit ribosomal RNA", at positions 232 to 965 of the family's 1533-position model. The record is from RNAcentral. Lineage: Bacteria; Bacillati; Bacillota; Bacilli; Lactobacillales; Lactobacillaceae.
UGCGGUGCAUUAGCUAGUUGGUAAGGUAACGGCUUACCAAGGCAAUGAUGCAUAGCCGAGUUGAGAGACUGAUCGGCCACAUUGGGACUGAGACACGGCCCAAACUCCUACGGGAGGCAGCAGUAGGGAAUCUUCCACAAUGGACGCAAGUCUGAUGGAGCAACGCCGCGUGAGUGAAGAAGGGUUUCGGCUCGUAAAGCUCUGUUGGUAGUGAAGAAAGAUAGAGGUAGUAACUGGCCUUUAUUUGACGGUAAUUACUUAGAAAGUCACGGCUAACUACGUGCCAGCAGCCGCGGUAAUACGUAGGUGGCAAGCGUUGUCCGGAUUUAUUGGGCGUAAAGCGAGUGCAGGCGGUUCAAUAAGUCUGAUGUGAAAGCCUUCGGCUCAACCGGAGAAUUGCAUCAGAAACUGUUGAACUUGAGUGCAGAAGAGGAGAGUGGAACUCCAUGUGUAGCGGUGGAAUGCGUAUAUAUAUGGAAGAACACCAGUGGCGAAGGCGGCUCUCUGGUCUGCAACUGACGCUGAGGCUCGAAAGCAUGGGUAGCGAACAGGAUUAGAUACCCUGGUAGUCCAUGCCGUAAACGAUGAGUGCUAAGUGUUGGGAGGUUUCCGCCUUUCAGUGCUGCAGCUAACGCAUUAAGCACUCCGCCUGGGGAGUACGACCGCAAGGUUGAAACUCAAAGGAAUUGACGGGGGCCCGCACAAGCGGUGGAGCAUGUGGUUUAAUUCGAAGCAACGCGAA